CUCAACCUGGGAAUUGCAUUCGAUACUGCCUGACUAGAGUGUGGUAGAGGGAAGUGGAAUUCCGCAUGUAGCGGUGAAAUGCGUAGAGAUGCGGAGGAACACCAAUGGCGAAGGCAACUUCCUGGACCAACACUGACACUGAGGUGCGAAAGCGUGGGUAGCAAACAGGAUUAGAUACCCUGGUAGUCCACGCCGUAAACGAUGUCAACUAGCCGUUGGGGGCGUUUGGCCCCUAGUGGCGCAGCUAACGCGAUAAGUUGACCGCCUGGGGAGUACGGUCGCAAGAUUAAAACUCAAAGGAAUUGACGGGGGCCCGCACAAGCGGUGGAGCAUGUGGUUUAAUUCGAUGCAACGCGAAGAACCUUACCUGCCCUUGACAUCCUGGGAACUCUCUGGAGACAGAGAGGUGCCUUCGGGAACCC
This 422-nucleotide ribosomal RNA is filed under the name uncultured Gammaproteobacteria bacterium. RNAcentral's name for it is "bacterial SSU rRNA". It matches the Rfam family "Bacterial small subunit ribosomal RNA", at positions 608 to 1029 of the family's 1533-position model. The record is from RNAcentral. Lineage: Bacteria; Pseudomonadati; Pseudomonadota; Gammaproteobacteria.